UCGGGAAUUUUGGGCAAUGGGCGAAAGCCUGACCCAGCAACGCCGCGUGAAGGAUGAAGUAUUUCGGUAUGUAAACUUCGAAAGAAUAGGAAGAAUAAAUGACGGUACUAUUUAUAAGGUCCGGCUAACUACGUGCCAGCAGCCGCGGUAAUACGAAGGGGGCUAGCGUUGUUCGGAUUUACUGGGCGUAAAGCGCGUGUAGGCGGACUUGUAAGUUGGGGGUGAAAUCCCGAGGCUCAACCUCGGAACUGCCUCCAAAACUACAAAUCUGGACCUAAGUAGAGGCAAGUGGAAUUGCGAGUGUAGAGGUGAAAUUCGUAGAUAUUCGCAGGAACACCAGUGGCGAAGGCGACUUGCUGGACUUAUGGUGACGCUGAGACGCGAAAGCGUGGGGAGCAAACAGGAUUAGAUACCCCAGUAGUCCCUGAGCGGGCUGGCAAGGCGCAU
Molecule: ribosomal RNA, 447 nt
Filed under: uncultured bacterium
Lineage: Bacteria
Description: bacterial SSU rRNA
Rfam family: Bacterial small subunit ribosomal RNA
Source: RNAcentral